AUACGAUGAAAUUUAUGAAUGGAAAAGGUAAGUAGAUAAAUUUUCUAAAAUAUCGAAUCACGUGUAGUAAUUAGAUAAAUACUUACAUAUAUUUCAUAUAGGAAGUAAAAAAUAUAUUUAGGACCGACCACAUCAAAGGGGCAAAGAAGAAAGGCCAGUGCGUCGAAGAACAAUGAACAUGAUUUCAUCAAUUGGUUACGAAAGGAGUUGGAGUUUGUUGAGGGCGAGUUGACAUUGAAACGAUUAGUAGAUGGCCCUACAUUUAAGGCAAAAUGCUAUAACAAGUAUCGCGUGAAUGGUUUUGUAUUCUCUCCAAGUAAAUAUGAGACUACUAAGUCAACACAAAAUAGUGGGGUGUCCAUGAAAGCCAUCACUAAAUACAGGGCAAGUGCUAAAGAUAAGAAUUACAAAGAAGAUGAGGCUACCUAUUAUGGAGUAGUAAAACAGAUAAUCGAGUUGGAUUACGCUGUCUUCCGUCAAAAGGUAUUUUAUUAUAAUUGGGUCAGAGUGGAAGACAAGACCAAUGGAUGCAUUAUUGAUCCCAAGUCAAAUUUGGUAAUGGUAAAUAUGGAGAAAUUGAAAGGACAUGAGAAGGAAGGAGAUGAACCAUUCAUACUUGUAUCCCAAGCAAGUCAAGUAUUCUACUCUAAGGAUCAAACAAGGCCUAGAUGGUAUGUUGUUUUAAUGUCACCAAAAAGAUUGACGAAAGACAUGGACACACUUGAAGAUCUGACUCUAUUUUUCUCUUCUGGGGGCGAUAAUACAAAUUUAGAAAAUAUUAUAAAGGAAAUUGGCUAUGAGUUUUAGGUAAUUUUUUUGUUAUCAUAUUUUGUGUUGAUUCAUUUGACAUUUUAUCUGAUGUAAAAAAUAUCUUGAUAAAUGAAUUUAUAUUUAUAUGAUGAUUUCUUCUUCUAUAAAUGUGUGUCUAUAGGUGAGCUUGGAUAUGUCAAUAGCAGAGGAGAACAUGUCAACUUCACAAGCACACGCAUAAAAAAAUAUAGUUAAAUACAAGUCCUUCAUUACCUUAUCAUUUAAUACAUUGUUUUAAAUAAUGCAGGUAAAUACGACGUAAGUUUUGUAUGUGUUAGGAACUUCAUCGUCGUUAAAAAAUAAGCCCGUCAUCACUUUAAAUGCACUUGGACUACCCGUGGGUGAACACUCACAUAGGUUGGCUACAAAAAGUGGAGAGCUGGUUCGCACCCAUGUCUCUAUUGCAUUCAAGAAUUGGCGUAUAGUACCAAAGAAUAAGAAAGAAGAACUUUGGAAGCUCUUACAGGAUGAGUUUGUUAUUCCUCAGUCUUACCAAAAGCUAUGCUUUAAACGCAUGUCCAAUAUGUUUAGGAAGUACAAGACUAAAUUGAGGAUUAGGUACCUCGAUCCCCAUUCAAAUCAUGAUUCCAAAUUAAACAACCGUCCACCAAGAGUUAAGGCCUGAAGAUUGGGAAAUGUUCAUUGAACAUAAUUCAGAUCCCAAAACUAUAGAACAAAGGAAAAAAAUGCCGAGAAUAGGAAAAAGCUAAAGAUUUACCAUACGAGUGGCAGGCAUAGCCAUACGAGAAUCGAGGAAGAAAUGCAACGCCAAAAGAAAGAUGGAGACACCCCGAUUAGUAGGACUGAAGUAUGGAUUAAAACUCAUACAAGAAAGGAUGGUUCUAUUCACAGUAAUGUGGCUUCACAUGUGGGGUCGUGUUCGAGGUGUUGGGACCACCAUUUCCCAAUCACAAAUCAGGGGGUCUGCUGCAUCUCUUGAAAAAAAUCUCUAUGUAUAAAGGAAAAAUAGAGGAGCAAUCGUCCACAAUUCAAGAGCAAUCAUUCAAAAUUCAAGGACUAUCUUCUAAAAUAGAUUUUCUUACGGACCAAGUUGGGGGUAUCAAAGAGAUGCUUCAACAGCAACCCAUGGAUUCGGUUCAACGGGAGAAUCUACAAUUGACUGGUGGACCUUCAGUUGGGAAUCAUCAAUGUGUAGAGAGAAUGCGGCCAUGCAAGUUGUACUCUUGGCGUAAAGAGUUCAUUGCUUAAGGGCGAGUUCUUUUGGCAGAUAGGCCCCAAAUGAUUCAUGGCAAACCUCUUCAGGAAGAGUUUUACAAGGUUGCCAUUGAUAUCAUUAUUAAAGGAGACGCCGAAUUGCUCAAGCCAGACGGAUAUCAUUCGACUUUAGGCAAAAUUGGAAUUGGCUCAUUUGUUCCAUGACAUUCUUGCUUUACUGAGUUCACCGAUUAGGGACAAUAGUCUAACACUUUUUGGACAAUUCACCUUUUUGGACUGUAUGUUUUGAUUGUAUUUGUGGACUACGUCCCAAGUACAUCUUGUAUAGCUUGAUUAGUUGUUUCUACAGACUGGACAUGAUAGAUGUAAUGCAGGUUUUGGAGAAAAUAGGAGAGAAAACUUGGAAGAUCUAGGCAUUCUUACAGGAAGAGAGUUACAAUGCAAGCCCAAAAAGAAGCUCUGCCUGAUAUGCAAUGCAAAGACAAGUUCCUUUUUCAGAGUGUCAUUGCAAGUCAUGGUGCAACCACAAAGGACCAUGUAUUUUCUCUAGGAGUGGAGCACAUCAUGGAGGAUUUUUAUUUUUAUUUUUAUUGUAUUCAUGCAAUUGUAAACUUUGUCGUAAAUAUAUAUAAUUUUUAUUAUAAAGUUGUAAGCAAUUUGUUUAAUAUUAA
Magnolia sinica is the source of this 2657-nucleotide long non-coding RNA. RefSeq lists it as uncharacterized. The transcript has 7 exons. Lineage: Eukaryota; Viridiplantae; Streptophyta; Magnoliopsida; Magnoliales; Magnoliaceae. The record is from RefSeq and is a predicted model, not a curated record.